This 1135-nucleotide long non-coding RNA is filed under the name Chinchilla lanigera (long-tailed chinchilla). Its description in RNAcentral is "lncRNA (ENSCLAG00000023734.1)". The record is from RNAcentral. Lineage: Eukaryota; Metazoa; Chordata; Mammalia; Rodentia; Chinchillidae.
CGGACUGAAGCUCCCUGCCCCCACCCUGAGGAGUUAAAUCUGCAAGUCCUGUUGUUUAGUGGCAGUGAGUCAGACUCCUGUGCUGACUGCUAAAGACCUGCUUUUAUACAGAAGUCCCUGCCGGGCCUUUACAUAUUGAAAUGAAUCAUUGUCGCCUCUGUCAGCUUUGCUCUUCAUUUGCUUGAUGUAUUUCAUCCUCAUUUGGAGGCAGUGAGAAUCACCAACCUAUUGUAUUUAUUAUCAUAUUUACACUUUGGGUUUUCUGCAAACCAAACCCACAAAAGGCAAUUAGCCUCUUGCAUUGCCAGGGUGUUUGGUUCCAUGGCACCUCUUACAGUUUAAUAAGACAAAGUAUUUUCUUUCUUCUUCUUCUUCUUUUUAAGUCUCUAGUUUAGGGUGCCUAACUUAUUUUGGUUUGCUGGGGACUUUCCUGGUUUUGCAGGUGAAAAGUCCCACAUCCCUGGGACCCUUUCAGGCCGGAGUAAACUAAGACAGUUAGAUACCUUAUCCCUACUUGUGUAGUCAUCGAGAGACUUAUCAGGACUUCUGAAAACCAGCACAUGCAAUUGAUCUGGAGUUUAGCAUUUCACUUUAAAGGCUAAUAAAUCUCCACCGUGGCAAAGAAACAAAAGUCAAUAGGCAGUAAAAGUGUACAUGUUUUAAGGAAUUGCCUUGUGCAGAGUUCUUUGAAGUUCUACUUUUUGGAACCAGUCUGGGAUUUAGACAUUUGUGCCUUGUUCCUUUUUGGUCCAGGGAACUCAAGGUCAAGUUAUUCAGAAGCAUUUGAAGUUGUUUGGAGAACUGUGAAGAAUUUCACCAGACUAAACACAUUACACGUUUCAAGAUUGAUUCCAAAAGGGCUGCUGAUGGUAGCGUCUGUAUCAAAGUAACAUACGGUAUUGCGUAAUCAUCCCCACCCAACACACUGAAGGCCUUGGGACCUCAUUUGCCAGCCGCUGUGGGAAAGGUAAGGACAUUCUUGUAGAAAAGUGAAGCACACCUCUAAACCUGGAGGCCUUAAGCAGAGGGGGUGGGCUAGGUCUUAGGGUGGAGGGGUGACAGCCCAGUCCAGAUGCACUGUAUACUCCUUACCUCCACUUCAACCCACGCCUAAGGUAUGGAGAAAAGUUUGCAC